UACGUAGGUGGCAAGCGUUGUCCGGAUUUACUGGGUGUAAAGGGCGUGCAGCCGGAGAGACAAGUCAGAUGUGAAAUCCACGGGCUCAACCCGUGAACUGCAUUUGAAACUGUUUCCCUUGAGUGUCGGAGAGGUAAUCGGAAUUCCUUGUGUAGCGGUAAAAUGCGUAGAUAUAAGGAAGAACACCAGUGGCGAAGGCGGAUUACUGGACGAUAACUGACGGUGAGGCGCGAAAGCGUGGGGGGCAAACAGG
This 253-nucleotide ribosomal RNA is filed under the name uncultured bacterium. Its description in RNAcentral is "partial 16S ribosomal RNA". It matches the Rfam family "Bacterial small subunit ribosomal RNA", at positions 524 to 776 of the family's 1533-position model. The record is from RNAcentral.